CCUACGGGAGUCAGCAGUGAGGAAUAUUGGUCAAUGGACGCGAGUCUGAACCAGCCAAGUAGCGUGAAGGAUGACUGCCCUCUGGGUUGUAAACUUCUUUUAUGUGGGAAUAAAAUGUUCCCCGUGUGGGAUGUUGUAUGUACCAUAUGAAUAAGGAUCGGCUAACUCCGUGCCAGCAGCCGCGGUAAUACGGAGGGUCCGAGCGUUAUCCGGAUUUAUUGGGUUUAUAUGGAGCGUAGGUGGUUUGUUAAGUCAGUUGUGAAAGUUUGGGGCUCAACCGUAAAAUUGCAGGUGAAACUGGCAGUCUUGAGUACAGUAGAGGUGGGCGGAAUUCGUGGUGUAGCGGUGAAAUGCUUAGAUAUCACGAAGAACUCCGAUUGCGAAGGCAGCUCCCUGGACUGCAACUGACGCUGAGGCUCGAAAGUGUGGGUAGCAAACAGGAUUAGAUACCCGUGUAGUC
Molecule: ribosomal RNA, 460 nt
Filed under: uncultured bacterium
Lineage: Bacteria
Description: partial 16S ribosomal RNA
Rfam family: Bacterial small subunit ribosomal RNA
Source: RNAcentral